This 253-nucleotide ribosomal RNA is filed under the name uncultured bacterium. Its description in RNAcentral is "partial 16S ribosomal RNA". It matches the Rfam family "Bacterial small subunit ribosomal RNA", at positions 524 to 776 of the family's 1533-position model. The record is from RNAcentral.
UACGUAGGGUGCAAGCGUUAAUCGGAAUUACUGGGCGUAAAGCGUGCGCAGGCGGUUUUGUAAGUCUGACGUGAAAGCCCCGGGCUCAACCUGGGAAUUGCGUUGGAGACUGCAAGGCUUGAAUCUGGCAGAGGGGGGUAGAAUUCCACGUGUAGCAGUGAAAUGCGUAGAGAUGUGGAGGAACACCGAUGGCGAAGGCAGCCACCUGGGUCAAGAUUGACGCUCAUGCACGAAAGCGUGGGGAGCAAACAGG